Molecule: long non-coding RNA, 6659 nt
Filed under: Sus scrofa (pig)
Lineage: Eukaryota; Metazoa; Chordata; Mammalia; Artiodactyla; Suidae
Description: lncRNA (ENSSSCG00000062439.1)
Source: RNAcentral
GUGGACAAAGCCCGCGGUGGGGUGAGGCGGGCCGGAGUCGGAGCUGGCGCCGGCGGGGAGGGGCCGGAGGUAAGCGCAGGCACCCCGCGAGGCAGGGCCGGGCAGCCUGUGGAGAAUGCCUGGUCUGGGCCCGUGGAGACGGGCUUCGGGCACUGUGGCGCCUCCCCCGGCUUGUCCUGCUCCUGCUUCCCGCCCCGAAGCGAAGCGGCGGAGACGCAACAGCAGUCGCAUCUGGAUCCGCUGCCCAGGCCACCUAGCCCGAGGCCGCAGAGCCCUGAGAUGUUGCAGUUCCCGAGCGAGCCGCGCUGGACGCCGGACGCCGCGCUCGGCCUGGCCUGGAGCCUCAGGCCCCGGGAGGCUGCUGAGUACUCGAGCGGAAGAGGCAUGCUUGAAGAAGGGAGACCGGCCACCUCGAUCGGCUCUUGGAGCAGGUACGGUGGUCAAAUUCGUUGCUGAGCGGAAUGCAGAAGAGGCGAAAUCUCCCUCAAACCACGCCAAGCAACGUGGCCUUCAGGUUCCCAAACAUUACACUCACUCAGGUCCUCACGUCUACAAUCACCUCUUGCCAUCUGAAUCCCAUUUGAGGCCACCGAGUUGCACAGCAGGAUGUGGUCUCGGAAAUGGAUGGGAUCAGUCCCUUCAUUUAACGGCCCAGGGAGUUUCUAUACCAUAGCCACUGCCUUGCAAGUUCUGAAUUUGACCUGAAGAAGCCCCAAACGGAGGAAAGAAGACAACUAAACCUCAAUUUCUUCCUAUCAGGAUAUCAAAGGUUUUCUCCGACUCAGCAACUACAGUGAAAACCAGUGAGACCCAAGCCAAAGAAACACUGUGAGGAAAGAAGACAAAUCAAAAGAAACAAAUUGAAGGAUGCAGUCAGUCCUUUAAGGACAACAACCUGGCAAGAAGGAGUUAUCGGAGCUCAGAUGUGCAUAGAAACAAGGAGCUAGAUCCAACUGCGAAUAUGCAAGUUCUGUGCUUUAUUACAACCCGAGUUAUCCAGCGGAAGAAGGCAGUUGUAGCUUGGGGAUAAGGGUUUCCAUGACGUUGUCAACAUCUACUCCCGGUAUCUUGUGCCAGAUCCGGUGCUAGGCUCCCCUGUAUCCACUCCCCCUUAUCUAGGUAAACACCCAGCCCCCUUCUUGGUGUCACAUCCAUGGCCUGGCUGCUUACUGGAGAAUGUGGUGCCAGCAGAAGUAAAUUAGGAAAACUCCAACCUAAAUAAAUCAGCAUAGUCCCAUUCCCUGCUGCAGUUGUUGGUUGGCAAUGUACUUGACACAAUUUGGGCCAGUGCUGAAGCUUUAGGGAAAGUUUUUGAUUGUUGGCUUUAUGUUGCAAGAGCGCUUCAGAGCAACCUCCUUCUUCUGUAUGUACUCAAGAAAUCCAGGAGCAAAAACAACCAAAAAAUGUGAAGGAAUAUCACCAGCAUAUUGUAUGGAAAAACAAAAAUCAAGAAAGCCAUCUUCCAACCACCAGGUCCAGCCAGGUUAAAAUAAAGCAGACAUGGAGAAAGCAUAGACAGAAAAAGAUAUGAUCUUUAGUGAUGUUUUUGAGUCUAUGAUCAAACAGCUUUUGAACCCAGAUCUCCCUUUAUUGAUUGAAUCAACAGGAUUAGAGUUUUGUUCUAUUUGUAUACUAAUGUGUUAUAAGGGAUAUAGGCCCAAUAGCCAUUUUUUGUAGCAAACACCUAAAUAUCAAGAUUGGAAGUCUGACUAAAAUUUUUAAGGCCCCAUCCAAUUGUAAGAUUCUAUGGCUAAGUGGUAAAACUGAAGAGAAAUAUUGAGGAAAGGAGAAACCAUGUAAUCAUAUCUUAAGGGUUUAUGCUGUUUUCAAGAGAAAAAGCCAGUUUCUUCUCAUCCUUCUACAACUAAUUUAGAGGAAGAAAUCAAUGUCUGUCCAAAACUUCAGUCACGGGGCUCCCUCCUUUGAAGUUCUUCAUAUCUAUUAUGGCCCAUAAUGUUUUAUACUUCAUUUUCCUCAUUAGAGUAAAUACUCCUUGAGGACUAGGAUUGCCAUGCAUUUGCCUGUACAGUGCACCUAGCAUAGUACUGAGUGUAUCAUACACUCUCAAAAAAGGAAGGCUGGAAUUUAAUCUGUCAGUCAUUUGAUAUUAUAACAUGAGUUUAUUUUGCAUCCUGUAAUAUAGUCUUUGCAUGUACCAUUUUUAAUAGGAUAUUAUUUCCAGCAAUGAAUUUUCUAUAAUAUUCCUGACAUAUAUGGAAGUCAAAAAGAAUAUUAAAACUGGAGUUUUGUAGCUUUAAAGUCAUUCCUGGGCCUUUGCUGACCUUGCCAGAUAGAGCCAGAAGGCUUUAUUUCAAAGCUUAGAGAGAGGAGUUCAGCUGUGGCUCAGUGGGUUAAGAACCUGAUAUAGUCUCCAUGACGAUGGGGGUUGGAUCCCUGUCUUCACUCAGUGGGUUAAGAAUCCCAUGUUGCCACAAGCUGCAAUGUAGGUUGCAGAUGGGGCUGGGAUCCUGUGCUAGUAGGCCAGCAGUUGCAGCUCUGAUUAGACCCCUAACCAGGGAACUUCCAUAUGAUGCAGGUGCAGCCAUGAAAUUUUUAAAAGGGGGGGAAGUUAUAAUCUGAUAGAUUUUAGUUUACUGUCCAUUCACUGUCCAUUGGGCAAACACAGGAAUUCUGUCCCCAUAGUUUCGGUCUCUUCCAAGAGCCCUGCACUCUACAUUCAAAAACACACAUGCAAUCAAUUUUAUCAGGAAGACCUAAAUUGCCCAGAGAAACCUUUACAAUUAAAAGGAAAAGAAAGCAAAACAGUAGGCUUUGCUUCCUUGAGAAAGACUUGACUUGAACCUCUUGUACAGAAGGCAAACAUUCUAGAAAGCUCAGAAGAGGAGAAGGAGGUGGGAGCAGAUUUAAUCAAGUCAAGUAACAAGUUGCAGUCUAGAUAGAGUGACUGGCCUUACAUUUUCCACUUGGGACUAAGGUUGAUGGCUAAUGGGCUCACUUGUAGUUCCCUUCUCUGUAGGAGAGCAGCUAGGAUUUGUACUUUCUUUUCCACAGCUUCCCCCUCAGGAUGAAUGGGAAGAAUUUUAUGUAAAAAUUAGUUUAAUAUGGAGUUCCCAUCAUGGCUCAGCGGUUAACGAAUCCGACAAGCAUCCAUGAGGACGAGGGUUCAAUCCUUGGCUUUGCUCAGUGGGUUAAGGAUCUGCUGUUGUCAUGAGCUGUGGUAUAGUCACAGAUGCAGCUCAGAUCCUAUGUUGCUGUGGCUGUGGCUUGCAGCUGUAGCUUCGAUUCGUCCCCUAGCCUGGGAACUUCCAUAUGCUGCAGGUGCAGCCCUAAAAAGAAAAAAAAAUAGCUUAAUAAGAAGUAAGAAGUACUACCUUCAGGUCAUGGCACUCCCAUCAAUGACAAACUAAAAACCAAGACUUUCCACUUUAAUCAUAAGCCAGAUUUUUCUAGUCAUCAACAAUCCACUCUUCAUUCUCUUCUAUCAGCCAGCAAGAAUCCCUCACCUUGGGGGAUUUCCUGGUACAGAUUUUGUCUUUCCUGUCUAUUUAUGGCUAAAAAGAAUUCUCUACUCCUUGCUAGUGUCAUUUGUUAUUUGAGACAAAAGGCUUUACUGCAAAAUUAUUCUCUGCAGAAGGUGAAGCAGGAAGUUUGCAGAGGGUAGGAGGAUUAAAGGAACAUUUGUAUAUUGGAUGUUGUGGACCCCAAAUAUCUUUACGAACUUCGCUCCCAGAUUCCAACAGCCAGACUUUCAACUUCCAAGGAGGCAAUUAGAAGAUCCUUCUAUGUGGAAUCUGAUCAACCCAAGAGGAAAGACCUGAAGAUAUUGACAAGGGAGGUUCCCCACCUAUUAACCCAAACAGAUCACUCUAUAGGGAUGUUUACAUCUGACAAACCCCCAUCCAAUCACCAGAGUUUCCAGUCAACAUUUUGUUAUCCUGUUCUUAAAUAUGAGUAGGCAUACCAAGGAUUAUCAGACAUUUGAGGAAAGCCACUAUCAUGUGGGACAUUUAGAGCAUUUAGAAUUGAAGACAGGAGAGUAUAAAAGAGGAAAAUAUUUAUGAAAGCUUUGGAAGAGAGGAGUUUUCACUGUGGCCCAGCAGGUUAAGGACCCGACGUCUCUAUGAGGAUGUGGGUUCAAUCCCUGACCUUGCUCAGUGGGCUAGAGGUCCAUUGUUGCCACAAACUGCAGCAGCAUAGAUUGCAGAUAGGGCUCAGAUCUGGUAUUGCUAUGGCUGAGGCUUCAGCUGCAGCUCCCUAGCAUGGGAACUUGCAUAUGCUGCAGGUGCAGCUGUGAUUAAAAAAAAAAGCUUGGGAAGAGAAAGUUAAGGAAAUUUCUUAGAAAUCAGAGAGGACCAGUUAAGAAAGUUCAAAAUCCAAAUAAUAAGGGACCUAAAAAGAGAUAUUAGGGGGAAAAUUAUGGAAGUCAUCCAUGAAAUAAUCCAAGAAUUCUCAGAACUGAAGUAUAAGUUACCAGAUUAAAUGGGUUCACCAAGUACCCACCAAAAUUGAUAAAAAUACAUCUAUACCAAAGCACAUAAUCAGGAGAUCUGUGAAUACAGCAAAGACCUUCAAGCUUCCAAAGAGAACACAAAACAGGACAAAUACAAAGGACUAAAAAUCAAAAUGGAAUUCCUGUUGUGGCUCAGCGAAGGAACACAACUAGGAUCCAUGAAGACUCCAGUUCCAUCUCUGGCCUCACUCAGUGGGUUGAGGAUCUGGCACUGUGGUGAGCUGUGGUGUAGACCAGCAGUUGCAGCUCCAAUUGGACCCCUAGCCAGGAAACUUCCAUGGGUGUGACCCUAAAAAGACUAAAUAAAUAAAUAAAUAAAUAAAUAAAAAUUAAAAUAGCACCCAUUAUUCAACAAAAACUAGAAUCUAGAGUGCAAUGGAACAAGGCUCUCAAACAUUCCAAAGAAAAAAUUGCUAAAUGAAGUACUUUUUAAAAUAACUCUAUAUACCCUAUUUUUGGGGUGAGGGGGAGGAAAGUCAUGCCAGCAGCAUGCAGAAGUUCUAGACCCUUAACUGCUAGAUGACUAGGGAAUUCCUGUGGCAUUUUUUUUAAAGCAAAUAUUACUUUUCUCCAGCCAAUGUCACUUAAUGUGACUGUCACUGCAAUUUAGGGAUUCAGAGACACACCUAACUGGGUCCCAGAUAGAACACAUGGUUGCAUCACCAGCAAACACACAGUUUUUGCUCUCUAUUUUCUCAGUAUCUCUAAAGGAUUUCUUUUCUUUUUAGGGGCUACCGGCCGCAUAUGAAAGUUUCCAGGCUAGGGGUCAAAUCGGAGCUGCAGCUGUGGGCCACAGCCACAGGCACAGCAACUUGGGAUUGGAGCCUAGUCUGUGACCUACACCACAGCUCACAGUAAUGUCAGAUCCUUAACCCACUGUGUGAGGCCAAGGAUCGAACCCACCUCCUCAUGGACAGUAGUUGGAUUCAUUUUUGCUGUGCCACAACAGGCACUCCCUCAAAAGGAUUUUUAAAAUGUCAGUGUCUCAAAUUUUCACUAGCAAAGAAUUCUCUUAUUUAAUGAUUAUAGUCUCUCUCUCUCUCUCUCUCUUUUUUUUUUUUUUUGUCUUUUAGGGCCACAUGUGUGGCACAUGGAGGUUCCCAGGCUAGGGGUCCAAUCAGAGCUGUAGCUGCCAGCCUACGCCAGAGCUACAGCAACACAGGAUCAGCCACAUCUGCGACCUACGCCACGGUUCAGGUUAAUGUCAGAUCCUUAACCCAAUGAGCAAGGCCAGAGAUUGAACCUGAGUCCUCAUGAAUACAAAUCGGGUUCGUUAACUGCUGAGCCACAAUGAGAACUCCUGCAUUCUCUUUAGAACACAAAUUUAAUAUGCAUAUUUCUUGUAGUCUGAUUUCAAUUACUCACUGCAAUGAGGUAAGCAUCCAAACAAUAAAAACCUUUUUGGUAUUUUUUAACACAUCAAAUUUUACCAGAUUUUAAAAUAUCUUUGCCACGUAUUUGAAAAGACAGGUGCCUAGGAACUAAACCAAGAAAUAGAACUAUCUUGGAAAAACUGACAGACACUGGACUACAUAUUCUGCUCCACCCAUUUAACCUGUCCUUGUUUGGAAUAAAAGUUUGAAAACUGAUACCGGGUUCCAACAGGGACUGGAGACAUCCCACUAAAAUGCAAGCUCCGAGGAGGCAGAAUUUUUUUUUCUGCUUCGUUCAUUAAUGUAUUCCAAGCACCUAGAGAACAAUGCCAGCUACACAGUAUGUGCAUAGUAAAUAUUUUUGGGUUUAUGGAAAACUGAAAGACUGGCAGAAGGCAACUUAGUCAUAAAAAGAGCAACUGAAUAUUUAAGUAAGUAGCCAGGCUUUAGAAAAUGGAAAUUAAAUUUGCACCCGUAAUUUCCACUGCAAUAAAACCUACAAAAAGAGGAUUUCCCUGGUGGCCUAGCCAUUAAGGAUUCAGUGUUUUCACUGCUGUGGCUUAGGUUGGAUCCCUGGCCUGGAAACUUCCACAUGCUGCAGGUGCAGCCAAAGGGAAAAAACAAACUGCGGAAGAAUGGUAGUGGUAAAAACAAGGUCCUACUGUAUAGCUCAGGUAACUAUAGCCAAUAUCCUAAGAUAAAUCAUAAUGCAAAAAAAAAUUUUUAAAUAUAUAUGUAUAACUGAAUCACUGAGCUGUACAUGUACAACAGAAAUUAACAAUAUUGUAAAUCAACUAUACUUCAAUUUAAAUAAA